GAUGAAGAACGUAGCGAAAUGCGAUACUUGGUGUGAAUUGCAGAAUCCCGUGAACCAUCGAGUCUUUGAAUGCAAGUUGUGCCCGAAGCCAUUAGGCCGAGGGCACGCCUGCCUGGGCGUCACACGUCGUUGCCCCCCCCAUCUACUCCUUCGGGAUUGCGGGGGGCGGAUGAUGGCCUCCCGUGCGCCUCGCCGCGCGGUUGGCAUAAAUGCCAAGUCCUCGGCGACGCACGCCACGACAAUCGGUGGUUGCGAAACCUCGGUUGCCCGUCGUGUGCGGUUGUCGCGCAUCGAGGGCUCGAAAAAAUUGCCGAGUUCCGGCUCGGCUUUCAACGCGACCCCAGGUCAGGCGGGGUUACCCGCUGAAUUUAAGCAUAUCAAUAAGCGGAGGA
This 392-nucleotide unclassified non-coding RNA is filed under the name soil metagenome. RNAcentral describes it as "partial contains 5.8S ribosomal RNA, internal transcribed spacer 2, and large subunit ribosomal RNA". The stretch from base 1 to 122 matches the Rfam family "5.8S ribosomal RNA", at positions 35 to 154 of the family's 154-position model. The record is from RNAcentral.